CAGGUGAUUCUGAUAUCAUCAAGAGCAUGCCUGGUGACCAUUGAUUAGGCCAUGAGGAAUAGCAUUUCUCCCUAGGUUUUGGUCAUUUUUCUCCUUGCUGGGGUUGGGUUGGGAUGUGGGUUUUCAAUUGCAAACUACGAUAUUGUUAAGCAAUUUUGUGUGGAACUUGUUGAGCUCCUAUUGAUAGCCAUUUUAGUAAAUUUUAAUUAAUUGAAAUGAUGACGUAAAAUGAAUUUUCUGGUGAUAAGAUGUUGAGUAAAACUUCAUUCAAUUAUCUUAUUUGCAUCUGCUGUGCUAGGUGAAUAAAGUUUCCUUUGAUAUCUUGUGUUUCCAAAGUUCCUUUUAAUUAAAGUAACGAGUCUUUCAAGCACUGUGCUGCAUGUGAGCCAAAUUAUAAUAUAUACACGCACGCACGCAUGCACGAAACACUAGGCAACAGCUAAUCUGUACCACAAAACUGCGACCAUCAGUGGGGAUGGCAAUGAGUUAUGAUUUUGUGUAUACUUGAUCUAAUCGAAUUCUAAUAAGAUGAGUUUUUAUUAGAGUUGGGUUGUAUAUAAUUGUAUUUGGGAUGGAUUUAAGUUUGAAAUUUAAUACUUAUGGGAGAUUUGAAUUUUACGUAUUUGGUAUUCGUUGUCUAAGUGUGUACAAUUGAUCGGUUUGGUCUUGAACCGAAUUGAACUACUGAAUUACAUUUUUAAAGAAUCAAAAAAGCUGAAUCGAUUCAAAGUAGUAAAUUGAACUGAAUUAAAUUGAAAAAAAUCAGUUUGGUUUAAUUUGGUUUUAACCGAUCGGUUCAGAGUUCAAACUCCAUCUCCCAUUCAACAUUCA
Molecule: unclassified non-coding RNA, 831 nt
Filed under: Hevea brasiliensis (rubber tree)
Lineage: Eukaryota; Viridiplantae; Streptophyta; Magnoliopsida; Malpighiales; Euphorbiaceae
Source: RNAcentral